RNAcentral lists this ribosomal RNA (637 nucleotides) under uncultured bacterium. Its description in RNAcentral is "bacterial SSU rRNA". It matches the Rfam family "Bacterial small subunit ribosomal RNA", at positions 202 to 842 of the family's 1533-position model. The record is from RNAcentral.
UAAAGAUUCAUCGCUGAUAGAUAGGCAUGCGUUCCAUUAGGCAGUUGGCGGGGUAACGGCCCACCAAACCGACGAUGGAUAGGGGUUCUGAGAGGAAGGUCCCCCACAUUGGUACUGAGACACGGACCAAACUCCUACGGGAGGCAGCAGUGAGGAAUAUUGGUCAAUGGGCGUAAGCCUGAACCAGCCAAGUCGCGUGAGGGAUGAAGGUUCUAUAGAUCGUAAACCUCUUUUAUAAGGGAAUAAAGUGCGGGACGUGUCCCGUUUUGUAUGUACCUUAUGAAUAAGGAUCGGCUAACUCCGUGCCAGCAGCCGCGGUAAUACGGAGGAUCCGAGCGUUAUCCGGAUUUAUUGGGUUUAAAGGGUGCGUAGGCGGCCUUUUAAGUCAGCGGUGAAAGUCUGUGGCUCAACCAUAGAAUUGCCGUUGAAACUGGGAGGCUUGAGUAUGUUUGAGGCAGGCGGAAUGCGUGGUGUAGCGGUGAAAUGCUUAGAUAUCACGCAGAACCCCGAUUGCGAAGGCAGCCUGCCAAGCCAUGACUGACGCUGAUGCACGAAAGCGUGGGGAUCAAACAGGAUUAGAUACCCUGGUAGUCCACGCAGUAAACGAUGAUCACUAGCUGUUUGCGAUACACAGUAA